Molecule: ribosomal RNA, 506 nt
Filed under: Boliviela angustiformis
Lineage: Eukaryota; Metazoa; Arthropoda; Insecta; Hemiptera; Cicadellidae
Description: partial large subunit ribosomal RNA
Source: RNAcentral
UUCUUUUAGAUUUUAUUAAAGGUAAUUUCUGCCCUAUGAAUUAAUAUUAAAUGGCUGCAGUAUUUUAACUGUACAAAGGUAGCAUAAUAAUUAGUUUUUUAAUUAAGGACUUGAAUGAAUGGAUAUAUGAAGAAUAUAUUUUAUUUUUUUUAUUUUUAAAAUUUUUAUUGUUGGUAAAAAUGCUAACUUUUUUAUUAGGGACGAGAAGACCCUAUAGAAUUUAUAAUUGAAAAUUUAAAUAUUUUUAUAGGUUAAUUAAUUUUUUAAUUUAAUUUGAUUUUUUAUUGGGGUGAUUUGUAAAUUUAUAAAACUUUAUUUUUUUAUUUCAUUAAUUAAUGUUAAUAUUUUAUUUGAUCCUUAAUUUUUUAAGAAUAAAAGAUAAAUUACCUUAGGGAUAACAGCGUAAUUUUAAUUUAAAGUUCAUAUUUAUAUUAUAGUUUGCGACCUCGAUGUUGAAUUAAGGUAAAUUUUAGGUGCAGGUGCUUAAUAAAUUUGGUCUGUUCGAC